AUCCAGCUGACGAGUCCCGAACAGGAUGAAACGCGCGUUCUGGAU
RNAcentral lists this non-coding RNA (45 nucleotides) under Schistosoma margrebowiei. The record is from RNAcentral. Lineage: Eukaryota; Metazoa; Platyhelminthes; Trematoda; Strigeidida; Schistosomatidae.